This 450-nucleotide ribosomal RNA is filed under the name uncultured bacterium. RNAcentral describes it as "partial 16S ribosomal RNA". It matches the Rfam family "Bacterial small subunit ribosomal RNA", at positions 354 to 796 of the family's 1533-position model. The record is from RNAcentral.
GUGGGGAAUAUUGGACAAUGGGCGAAAGCCUGAUCCAGCCAUGCCGCGUGUGUGAAGAAGGUCUUCGGAUUGUAAAGCACUUUAAGUUGGGAGGAAGGGCAGUAAGUUAAUACCUUGCUGUUUUGACGUUACCGACAGAAUAAGCACCGGCUAACUUCGGGCCAGCAGCCGCGGUAAUACGAAGGGUGCAAGCGUUAAUCGGAAUUACUGGGCGUAAAGCGCGCGUAGGUGGUUUUGUAAGUUGGAGGUGAAAUCCCCGGGCUCAACCUGGGAACUGCCUCCAAAACUGCAUGACUCGAGUACGGUAGAGGGUAGUGGAAUUUCCUGUGUAGCGGUGAAAUGCGUAGAUAUAGGAAGGAACACCAGUGGCGAAGGCGACUACCUGGACUGAUACUGACACUGAGGUGCGAAAGCGUGGGGAGCAAACAGGAUUAGAAACCCUGGUAGUCC